UGACCCGGCCAUAGGCGAGGCGGAACCACCCGGUCUCAUCGGAACCCGGAAGUGAAACGCCUCGCCGCGGCGCCGAGUACUGGAAUCCGAAAGGUUCCGGGAAAAGCCCGUGCUGGGAGGC
This is a non-coding RNA of Thermocladium sp. ECH_B, 121 nucleotides long. Lineage: Archaea; Thermoproteati; Thermoproteota; Thermoprotei; Thermoproteales; Thermoproteaceae. The record is from Rfam.